Molecule: unclassified non-coding RNA, 236 nt
Filed under: plant metagenome
Description: partial contains small subunit ribosomal RNA, internal transcribed spacer 1, and 5.8S ribosomal RNA
Source: RNAcentral
UCUCCGUUGGUGAACCAGCGGAGGGAUCAUUACCGAAGUUACCUUCGAAACCCACUGUGAACCUUACCUCUUGCCGCGUUGUCUCGGCGGGAGGCGGUGUGCGUCGCGCGCCCUAGCGGGCCGCGCCGCUCCCGUCCCCGCCGGCAGCGCCAAACUCUAAAUGCACAGCGGACUGUACGUUCUGAUUUACAAAAAAAAACAAGUUAAAACUUUCAACAACGGAUCUCUUGGUUCUG